This 1085-nucleotide ribosomal RNA is filed under the name Salmonella enterica. RNAcentral's name for it is "partial 23S ribosomal RNA". It matches the Rfam family "Bacterial large subunit ribosomal RNA", at positions 566 to 1566 of the family's 2925-position model. Lineage: Bacteria; Pseudomonadati; Pseudomonadota; Gammaproteobacteria; Enterobacterales; Enterobacteriaceae. The record is from RNAcentral.
AAAACAAGCAGAGGGGGCUUAGUGGUGGGGUGACUGCGUACCUUUUGUAUAAUGGGUCAGCGACUUAUAUUCUGUAGCAAGGUUAACCGUAUAGGGGAGCCGGAGGGAAACCGAGUCUUAACCGGGCGUUAAGUUGCAGGGUAUAGACCCGAAACCCGGUGAUCUAGCCAUGGGCAGGUUGAAGGUUGGGUAACACUAACUGGAGGACCGAACCGACUAAUGUUGAAAAAUUAGCGGAUGACCUGUGGCUGGGGGUGAAAGGCCAAUCAAACCGGGAGAUAGCUGGUUCUCCCCGAAAGCUAUUUAGGUAGCGCCUCGUGAAUUCAUCUCCGGGGGUAGAGCACUGUUUCGGCUAGGGGGCCAUCCCGGCUUACCAACCCGAUGCAAACUGCGAAUACCGGAGAAUGUUAUCACGGGAGACACACGGCGGGUGCUAACGUCCGUCGUGAAGAGGGAAACAACCCAGACCGCCAGCUAAGGUCCCAAAGUCAUGGUUAAGUGGGAAACGAUGUGGGAAGGCCCAGACAGCCAGGAUGUUGGCUUAGAAGCAGCCAUCAUUUAAAGAAAGCGUAAUAGCUCACUGGUCGAGUCGGCCUGCGCGGAAGAUGUAACGGGGCUAAACCAUGCACCGAAGCUGCGGCAGCGAACGUAUCACCCAAGACAACUUUACGGAGUUGACGAUUGACGGAGCGAAGCGACGUCAAAGCGUUCAUUAAAGUCGAGUUGGCUUAGGGAUACGUUCGUUGGGUAGGGGAGCGUUCUGUAAGCCUGUGAAGGUGUGUCGUGAGGCAUGCUGGAGGUAUCAGAAGUGCGAAUGCUGACAUAAGUAACGAUAAAGCGGGUGAAAAGCCCGCUCGCCGGAAGACCAAGGGUUCCUGUCCAACGUUAAUCGGGGCAGGGUGAGUCGACCCCUAAGGCGAGGCCGAAAGGCGUAGUCGAUGGGAAACGGGUUAAUAUUCCCGUACUUGGUGUUACUGCGAAGGGGGGACGGAGAAGGCUAUGUUGGCCGGGCGACGGUUGUCCCGGUUUAAGCGUGUAGGUGUGUGUUCCAGGUAAAUCCGGUUCACUUUAACACUGAGGCGUGA